GCACUCUUGACUAGUGGAGGGUCGUUAGCCGAACGGGUAGGAUAGGACGAAACCUUCCAUUAUAAGUAUAAUGAAUUAUAAAAGUAACUAAAUGUUUUCAUAAAAUUCCCAAUCUUAGUUACUUAGGCAAAAGUGAAUUGAUGCAAUUCCAUGAAAUUACACUUUGUGCCCUUGCGAAGACGUUAGUGGAGCGUGUGUGGUUUACCGGCACACUAAAUGGUUCUAAGCAAAGGUAGCAAAGGGUGACUCAAUGUUUGUCAUAGUUCGGUGGAGCGUGUGUGGUUUACCGGCACAUCGAAUAGGUGACUGUAACAUGUGAGGGCACCAUGUAAGUUUGCAUGGUUAUUCACACCCGCUUUGUGAUCCUCGGCAUCCCAGUCACAAACAAGAGGGGCAUAUCGAGAUUUAAACAUGCCAUUGAAAGUUCAAUGAAUCUCAAAGGAUCUAGGAGUUUUCAUAGAUUUAAAACUUAAAUUUCUUUUUCGUUUUUCAUGGUGGAAAUUAGUGAAUCGUCAUUCACUUACCUUCAAAUAUUCUGCAAUUAGGGUUACGGCAUCCCUCUCCCGAGUUGUAGAAUAUUGUGUUGGGUCCUAGCCUUAGUAUCUCAUUUGGGUGAUUUACUAAGGACUCAAUCAAUCAACUAACUUGAAUUCGUUUUCUCCCGUUUUGUAGAUGUCAAAGUUCGACAACUAUGGUCUUCCCAAAUCCCGUGGAACAAGCAUUCCACAUGAAGAUGAUAUUCCACGAUUCGAUCGAGGAACAAGAAAUCAUGCUUCACUUCCUCCUCCUCCUCCAAUUAUUCUCCCUAACCCACAAGUUCAAAGGCUUGAAAAGUUCAAGAUCACUCAAGCCCUUUUGGCAAGUAAACAUAAAGAAGGAAAGUCGGUGUGUGCACACGUCCUAGGGAUGAAGUCACACAUUGAUAGGUUAAGAAUGUUGGGAUCCGUUGUCUGUGAGGAAAUGGCUGUUGAUUGGGUUCUUCAGUCACUUCCUAACUCAUAUAGUGAGUUCGUAAGAGAGUACUAUAUGAUGAACCGCGACGUGACCCUUAUAGAUCUCACCUAUAUGCUUAUUGCUGCUGAAUCAGCAAUGGUUUGGCGCAAUAGAAAAGCAAAGUUGAUUGGUGAAUCUGCCUUCAAGACCUCUAUGGAUAUAGACAAUGGCAACGAAAGACAUGCUAUGAUCGAAAAGUUUGAUCAUAAGAGAAAGGCAAUGUCUGAAGUAGUUCCAUGUCAUGUUCCAAAAGAGUCAAUUUGCUUUUAUUGCCAAGAGAAAGGGCAUUGGAGACGAAGCUGCCCCAUUUACCUAAGAGAUCUAAGAGAUGGGAGAGUCGAAACGUAUGGCUCUAAUAUAGGUAAAAUCCAUUAACUAACUCUUUUAAGCUUCUAUUCUAGAUUCUUAAUACAUAAUGUGAUAAGAUUACAAUUGAUGUUUUGUAGGAUCGAAGAAAAGAAAGGAAGCUUAAGGGAAGAAGUGAGCAGAAUCUAACCGUGAAGGAAUGGAUUUCGAUCGCAUUUCUCGAAGAUUAGAUUCUUGAGCUACUACUUAGAGUUAGAAUUAGAUUGCUAAGAAAGAUGUAUUAGCAUAGUUUUUCAAUGAAUUGCAUUGUAAGGACAAAUUUUUUCCGCAAUAAAAUAAAUUUUGAUUUUAUAUUAUUUAUUUAUCCUUGCAAUGGCGUAUAUGAAAAAUUGAUGUUUGAAUGUUUCUAUUAUUAGCAAUAAUGGAUUUGGUUCUUAUUAUGUUAUUUAUGGAAAGUCGAGAAUUUACCAAAUAGGGAGAGUUUCUCAUCGCCCAAGUUUCAAUUGGACAGAAACUUGGAAUCAUGCAACUUGGUUGCACGAUGAAUGAGAAAUUUCAUAUUUGGAAAUUAGACUAAUUCAUUGACAAAGUGUCAAGUGAAGGACUAGGAGAUCGAGUACACAAAGUUGCGUGUUGAUCAAGUCCACCAUAAGAGUAACAAAGAUAUUCGUCAUGAUUUACUAAAGGUUUAGUAAAUAUGAUUAUACUUAUAAGAUUAAGUGUAAUUCUGAAUUGAUUGAAAAAGUUUAAAUCAAUAGCAGAACGAAUAAGAAGAAUCAAGUAGGCAGAAAGAUAAAAGUUUCUCCAUUCUAAGAAGAAGGGAGAGUACCUUUUAUGCUUUAUGAUAGGUCUUAAUGAUUAAGAACCAUAUCUCAAUUGAUCCUCUAAGUGAGUCUUAGUACAAUUGUAUGUCUAAGAAGAGGAAUCAAGAAUUGAAGAAAUGGUUAAAUCAAGAAGUCAAUCAUACUUCGUUCCAAAACAAGUCUUAGAGUUAAGAUUGUGACAUUGAGUGAUAAGUAUUAAGAAGGUUUAUAACAUUCAUCAAAUGUGGAAAGUUGUGAUGUCUUGGAUAAGACAAAGACCAACUAGGACCAAUUUAUGAAGUGUUUUGAUAAAAACUACACUAACUCUUGAAUAUUUGUUUGUCAAGAAAUGUUUAUUGACAAGAGAAUCUUAUAUGUCAAGGAGUCAGUGGGAGUCUUAAUGGUCUUGAAAGGUUUCAAGAACAAAUCAAAAAAACCUUAUCGAUCAUCACUAGCACACGAGUUGAGGUUUACAACCUAUCGUGUUGACAUUAUUUUGUUUCUGUGCCAAUCCAAUCGAGUUAAUUAUGCAUGUGAGUCCUAUGAGUUCUCAUUUGAAUGCAUAAAAGGCAAGGACCUUGAUCAAUGGAAAGUACAUUGAUAAGAAAAGGUGAGCUGCUUAACUACUUGGAAGACAUGGUGGGCAGCUGUGCUACCAUAAGGCAAGAAAUCAAGAUUAAGAAAGUUCGGUCCAUAUGAGUUUGAAUUUGUCGUAAACUUUGGUUUUAACAAAUUCACAUGGAUAGGAACACAUACACCGUUUAAAUCUAAGUGUCAUAAGAUUUCCUCCUUCAUGAAAAUGAUUGUGAGGAAAUGCUUUCACUAAGAAAGAUUUUAAGAAGAUAGUGAUUGUAAAAUUGCAUUCUCGAAUUCGAUUAUGGUUACGGUAUCCCUUUCCAUAAUUUGAAUUGUGAGGUUUGGCAAUUAGUCUUAAUUGUUUAGACACACAUAUGAACUAUCGAAGGCAAAGGUGUAUAAGUUCAAGAAGCCUUGAUAAAAGAUUAUCAAAGCACUAAGUAUUAGAAACAUGAACUUAAGAAAUUCAAUAAGCAUUGUUUUUCUGAAAGUUAAGCUGUUUCUGAAUACAUGUCAAAGCUAGUGGGAGCAUAAGUGUUAUGUUUAUAAUAAUCAUCAUGAUAGUGGGAGCAUAAAUGUUAUGAUUGUAUGAUUAUUAAGGAAAGUAUUGCAAGUUGGCAAUAUUAAUUAUAGAAAACAAGAGUCAUACUUUGCAAAGUUGUAAGGAUGGAAUAGUUGUUUUGCUAUAAUUAAGGGAGAGAAUAUUAUGCUUCAUUUCAAAUCUAAAGGCUUAGGUUGAGAAAUGUUAAUAAAUUUAGUCAAAGGUACAUAGUGUGUUCUUAAAAUUUCGAUUAUGAUUACGACAUUCCUCUUCACAAUUCGAAUUUUGAGAACAUAGCAAAUAAAACAUUAUGCGUCGUGUCCCAUACGCUUCGGGUAUAGGAUCGAUUGCAAAUGCUUUAAUGUUUGACCAUUCUAAAAUUUUCCAAAUGUCUAGCGCAUUUAGAGGGAAAAAGGACUAGAAUUGGUUUUGACUAAAAUAAUUAAACAACUAUCAAAGGACAAUCCAAAGUUCGACGAGGAUUGGUCGCUUGUGAGUAGUUGGAAGCAUGGUAUUGGAUGGACCAUAUCGACAUUAUUAUGAAUAGAAAAGAUUCUAUUAAGAAUGAGUUGUCAUAUGGAAAUUAUGGAAAUGUUUCCAUAUUGGAUGGACCAUAUCGACAUUAUUACGAAUAGAUAAGAUUCUAUUAAGAAUGAGUUGUCAUAUGGAAAAUAUGGAAACGUGUCCAUAUUGGGAAUUGAAUAUUGAAAAUCUAUGUCUAGAUUAGAAACUUUUAUGCAAAAGGAUGUUCAAAGGAAUGUACUUUGAGUGAGAGACAUCAUAUCUAAGGAAUUGUCUUGUAACAAUCUCCGAUAGAGGACUUUGUAAUAUCAUUGGCAAUAGUCUUUGUGACUUUGGUGCAGUGACAUUACGAAAGGAUCGUUGCAUAGAAUGUUAGAAUCUAGCAUAUUCUAUAAGUAGCAAGAAUUUGAUAUUCUUUCACUUAUGAAAAAGGAUUUGGAGUUGUGAAAUGAGAAUGAUUGGAAAUGUGUUCAAUUUGAUCUAUUUCACAAAGUAAGAACCAUAGGUAAACAUUGUGUGCAUGCUAGGAGCAUGGGACAAGUGUAAUAAUUCAAGUAAGAAGUUGAUUACCCGAAACGACAAAUAAUGAGUAAUCGAUAUGGUGAUAAAUAAAAGGUGUUUUAUUUAUACUCAAAGGUUUGAGGCCAUAUGGGAUUAGUAUUAUUCUUGUGUUUCACAUUUGCAUGUUUUGACUUCCAGAAUAAUUGAGUUUAUUAAGAAUAAUCGAAUUAUUCGAACGGGCCACAGUCGUUCAUAUGUUGGAAGUAGAUAUGAAUGAAGACUGUCGUGAAUUGGUGUGUGGAUUGUCUAAAAGAGUAUUAGACAUAAGCAAAUGUUUGCUGCAACGUUCAUGAGUGCUUAUGAAUAUGAUUUGAGCAUUGGAUUAAACCCACGCUCACUUGGAUCACUCCAUGAAUUGUAUCACGAGUGAUUGGUGAGACGAUAACAUCUUAUAUUCUUGAAACCGAGAUGUGUGAGUUGUAUCUUGCAAAUCGGUUGCACAUUGAUAAUAUGUAAACGCACUAGUAACUUGGUGUUAUAAAACAUAUUGUUGUGUGUGAUUCGGUGAGUGAGUGCAAGCAAGCAUUGUAUCAAAGUUUAUCCGUUCCUUUUAUCCAAAGUAGGAUAAAAGCGAUAUCUUUGGGCCCCUCGAUGAUUUAGUGAUGACAAACGUAAAUGCUCGGCCGGGCUAGGGCUAAUUUGAUUUGUUCAAUUAGUCAGUCGUCAUAAAUCGGGAAUCGAGAUAUAGUACAAAGAGAAUGAUUUGAAAUCAUAUCUCAUAUGAUAUCUAGAAUGGAGGAAUAUAUGAUCCCUUAUCUAAGGACACGCGUAUCUGAUAGGAUCAGAGUUGACAGCGGCUUUGGAAAGCUACGAUUGCAGAUCAGGAUCUGAAGUCAUACGCAUAAUAGUUAUUAGACUUAUCCAAGUGGGAGACUGUUGGAUUAGUGUCUAAGUCCAUAACUAUUUUGGUAUGUACUUGACCCGAUGGUGCAUGGUCCUUUUGGGUUGCCUUCACCAAAGCAACUUGAUAGGAUGAAUUAUGGAGAGAAAGGAUUAAAUAUGAUUUAUUAAUAUAUUAUGAGAAUAAUAUAUUAAAGGAGAAAUCAUAUUGUUUAAUUAAUAUUAGUCAAUAAUUAAUUGGUAAUUAGUUUUGUGACUAAAAGAGAUUAAUUAAACUUAAGGGACUGGAAUUGUAAUUAUAAGAUAAUUGCAAUUUGGGCCAUGGAUUGCCUUAUAUUAUAAGGUGGACGAAUUCUAUGGGGGAAGCCCAUAUGAAAUCGUCCAAGGCCUUAAGGAAAGGGCUCCAUGGGUUGCUUAGGGCUUAAGCAUCCAAAUUAGGGUUUCCUUGUUAGAUAACCCUAAUAGCCUCACUAUAUAUAGAACCCUUAAGGCUCAAAAACGUGGGGAACUUCUUUUCUAGGGUUAGAACACGUUUUGGGCAGCCUCCAUCCUCUCUCCUCUUCAUCCUCUUGCUUAUGGUGUUUGUGAACCAUUAGAGGAGUGACACUUGUGACUCUAAGCCUUCCAAAGUCAAUUCAAGGAGGAAUUGGGAUUGUUAUUGCUACAUAACAAUCAAGGUAAUAUCAUAAACCUAAUUAUAUGUUAAUAUUGAUUUCCAUAUGCUAGAAUUAGGGUUUAUAGUCUUGGAUUCAAAGCAUGUACAAUAGAGAAACCUAGAUCCAAGCAUUAGGGUUUGUAUGAGCACAUAGGAUGUCUUAUGACCAAAACCCAUCAGUGGUAUCAGAGCCUAGAUUGGUUUCUAUUGUAUUGAUGCUUGGUAUGUUGAAAAAAUUCGAUUUUUGUGUUUCUGGGGGCUGAACUCGCCGAGUUUUUUAGAUGAACUCGUCGAGUUCAUGCUAACUCGACGAGUCCAUGCCUGACUCGACGAGUCGGCUGGUCAGUAAGAGGGAAAACCGGGAUUUCUUGCUGUUUUUGCUUGAGGAUACUUGCCUUAUCAUAUUAGAUCAAUAUAAAUCCGAUUUUUUGAUAUAUAUGACUAUAUUUUUGAUCUAAUUGAAGAUAUUUAUCAAUUAAUAAGAUAAUUGUUUCCUUAUGUGAUAAUUGAUUAAUUAUUUUGACUAAAUUGAUAAAUUGUUUUGCAAGAAAUCAUUAAAUAAAUCAAAUAUGGAUAAUUAUGUGAUUAAAUGUUAAUUUAGAUUAUUUGUUAUUUGAUCCUUGUGUUUUGAAAAGUUUCAUAUUUUCCCCUUUAGGUUUUAUAGUUUAAAUUUGAACCCAAAAGUUUUGUUGUUUUGAAAUUUAAAUAGUUGAAACCCUAAUGUUUUGAAAAAGGUUUCAAAACUUGCCCUCAAGUUUUGGAAUUUAAAUUUUGAUUAAUUGUUUAAUUUUGAUGUAUAUUUAAAUUCUAAACCCUAAUGUUUUGAAAUGUUUCAAAACUUGCCCUCAAGUUUUGGAAUUUAAAAGUUGAUUAAAAGUUUAAUUAGGAAUGUUAAAUUCUAAAACCCUAGUAUUGUUUUGAAAAAGUUCAAAUCACACCCUUAUGGUUUUAUUAAUUAAUUAAGGUGUAUAAUUAAAAGAGGUUUAAUAAAUCCAUAAAAGUUUAGGUUUACAAUUUAAUUGAAUUAAAAGUAUAAUUGUUAAAUUUGACCACCUAGUAUUUUAAAAGUGUAAAAUACACCCUAUACUAUAUAUAACAUUAAAAGUCUAACAUUAUAUAUAUGUAUGAGUAAAAGUCAGUCAUACCGUUAGUAGGCCUCAUUCACGAAGCUGGUCUAUAAGGGGUGUUUAAGGAAAUUGCCUAUAAAAUGGCGAUAGAAUGGGUAUCCACUCUUACCCACCGCACUCUUGACUAGUGGAGGGUCGUUAGCCGAACGGGUAGGAUAGGACAAAACCUUGCAUUAUAAGUAUAAUGAAGUAUAAAAGUAACUAAACGUUUUCAUAAAAUUCCCAAUCUUAGUUACUUAGGCAAAAGUGAAUUGAUGCAAUUCCAUGAUAUUACACUUUGUGCCCUUGCGAAGACGUUAGUGGAGCGUGUGUGGUUUACCGGCACACUAAAUGGUUCUAAGCAAAGGUAGCAAAGGGUGACUCAAUGUUUGUCAUAGUUCGGUGGAGCGUGUGUGGUUUACCGACACAUUGAAUAGGUGACUGUAACAUGUGAGGGCACCAUGUAGUUUGCAUGGUUAUUCACACCCGCUUUGUGAUCCUCGGCAUCCCAGUCACAAACAAGAGGGGCAUUCGAGAUUUAAACAUGCCAUUGAAAUGUUCAAUGAAUCUCAAAGGAUCUAGGAGUUUUCAUAGAUUUAAAACUUAAAUUUCUUUUUCGUUUUUCAUGAUGGAAAUUAGUGAAUCGUCAUUCACUUAC
RNAcentral lists this long non-coding RNA (7561 nucleotides) under Lactuca sativa (garden lettuce). RNAcentral describes it as "long non-coding RNA (LSAT_LNC005502)". The record is from RNAcentral. Lineage: Eukaryota; Viridiplantae; Streptophyta; Magnoliopsida; Asterales; Asteraceae.